Molecule: ribosomal RNA, 253 nt
Filed under: uncultured bacterium
Lineage: Bacteria
Description: partial 16S ribosomal RNA
Rfam family: Bacterial small subunit ribosomal RNA
Source: RNAcentral
UACAGAGGGUGCAAGCGUUAAUCGGAAUUACUGGGCGUAAAGCGCACGUAGGCGGUUUUUUAAGUCAGAUGUGAAAGCCCCGGGCUCAACCUGGGAAUUGCAUUUGAAACUGGGAAACUAGAGUGUGUGAGAGGGGGGUAGAAUUCCAAGUGUAGCGGUGAAAUGCGUAGAGAUUUGGAGGAAUACCAGUGGCGAAGGCGGCCCCCUGGCCCGAUAUUGACGCUGAGGUGCGAAAGCAUGGGGAGCAAACAGG